Molecule: long non-coding RNA, 2855 nt
Organism: Neoarius graeffei (lesser salmon catfish)
Lineage: Eukaryota; Metazoa; Chordata; Actinopteri; Siluriformes; Ariidae
Exons: 9
Source: RefSeq, a predicted model, not a curated record
AAAGAGGGUCAGAGCGCGCGCCUGGGGCAAGCCGAGCCACCGGGAGCCUAACGCAGGUGUGUCUGAGGACAUCAGGAGUGUUUACUGUGUCCCGCUUUGUGGAGCAGAGUGAGAAGGAGUGCGGCGCGGCCUGGAGCUGUGCACACUGCAGGGUUUGGACGGUACUGUCUCAUCAACCUGAGACUCAGGCAGCGUUUGGAAGCACAGAGAUCUUCGACCUUUUAGAAUGAACAAUAAAAUGACGUGCGGCUUGCACGUUUGCGUUUUUCAAAUAAAGAUAAAAAUUAAAUGUUUUCUUCAAUACUAUAUAGGCCAAUCAUGGAGCCCGACAGCCCUGAAAAGAAAGGUACAAGUCUGGACCCCUGAUCAGAUGGAGGCCUCAUUGUGGAGAUUAAAACAAAGGAAACGGAUGGAAAGAUGGAAGGGGACCUCCUCACGGCUGUUCUGUGUGACAGAGAACCCUAACAAAUGGUGACCAGUCUACACUACUGAUGUCAUCUCUGAUUAUAAGAGUUACCUACACUGAUGACACACUGAACAAAGCUACUGAUGAACGCAUGUUUCAAUAGUUUGUACGCAGAACCAGUAAGUCACUCCACACAUCCCUCCUUCACCAAUUCAUAGACCACCAUCGGACUUCUCAACAUUGCCGGAUUUGAGCUCCUUGAGUUUUGAGCAGUUGUGCAUCAAUUUCACAACUGACAAACUCCAGCCAUUUUUAAACCAGCACAUAUUCAUCUUAGAAAAGGAGGAAUAUAACAGAUGGGAUUGAAUGGACUUUUAUUGACUUUGGCUUUGGACUACAUUGACUUCAUUGAGUAGGUUUUACACCAGAUGCCCUUCCUGACACAACCCUCCCCAAUCUAUCCGGGCUUGGGACCAGCGCUAAGUAUGCACUGUCUUGUACAACCCCAGUCGCUGGGUAUUUUACUCAAUCUGCAUGUCUUUGAACUGUGGAGGGAAACCAGAGCACCCAGAGGAAACCCACACAGACACGGAGAAUAUGCAAACUCCACCCAGAAAGGCCCCAUCAGCCAUGGGGUUCGAACCUGAAACCUCCUUGCUCUAAUGAAUCUUGAACCCUUCUACCAUUCUGAAGGACAAAUAAGACAAUGAGGCUGCAGAGAAACUUCUAAGCUUUCUGGAUAAUGAACACAUGCAAUACAGAGGAAAGUACUGUCCUGAGUGAGUGGCUUGGUUAAGCAGGCAAGACAGUCCAUUAGAGCAAAUGUAAAAGUCUCUGGAUUAAGAGUGACUUCCAGGCAGCACUGGAGGAACCUUUUGGGUUACAGAGGUCACUGGAGGAAGAUGAUGUACAAGAGACCUAAAUGAGAGCACAAAAACUAGUUCACCACCUACAAAGUAGCCAUUUCUCUCCCUUCAACACUAAUGUGACAUCAGCUUCAAUAUGUCAUCAAAACUAUAUUAUCUGAAAUGAAGGGAUCAAUCCAGUAUCAACAUAUAUCUAUCUUCUUAUCUAUAAAUAAGCAAGACACAUGAAGGCCAGGUAGCAUGAACAAAUGAAGAGAAUGGAGUUUGAGGAGUCUCUACAUCUGUGUGAAGACCUGAAGAAACAAGUAGCAGGAACAGAUCAUCAGAACAUCUUGCUGGCUCCUGAACUGGAAAAGCUCGAAAAAGUAAUUGAACAAAUCGGGCAAAUGUUCAAAGCCUGAUGAGAAACAAAGCUAGCACACAAAUACCACACAGGGAAGUAAUAAAACCAAUACUGAUCUGUCUGAGCGCUGAUGGUUGAUCGUGUGCCGAACCAGAAAAAGAAGGUGAAAAGUGAUAUCCCAGUGCUUGCAGUGAUGCAAGGAUGUCUGCAAUGGUCAGGAGAAGGCCAAGAAGCCCUACAAGCUGAAGAGUUAGUGUGUAGUGUCUCAUCUGAAAGCAUUCUGUCUUGCAAGCAUUAAAUAUCACAACUUCUAGGAAAGCACAGACAGUGUUCAUUAGUGUUUACAUCAGCGUGCAAAUGCAGGCUGCUUUAAUUGUGUAUAAGGUCGAAGUAAAGGACAAGAUCAACGUGACCCGCUUCAGAAAGAUCCACCACAGUGCAGAGGAGAGCAGACAUGGACGAGUCUCGAGCCCACCAACUGUGCCUUAGCACAACAGAGACACAUCAAGCUACAAGUGCUCCUAUAUUUAGAGCAGGUGACUUCAGACAGUGAUGAAGCCUGGUCCUGAUUAAAUUUUUGGUUUACACAUUGCUGUGGACAAGCAUUCUUAAUAUGGAGUUUACUUGUUAGCAGUGGGAGACAGAAAAAGAUCAUAGCAUUUGUGGUGCACAGUAGAAAUUUCAUAUACAGUACCAGUCACAAUUGACAGUUUGUAAUUCAAUGCUGUUUUUUUAAAUGAUUAAUUUAAAGGCACUUCAUGUCUUAAAAUAAUGGACUGUUGUUUCUCUUUACUUAGUUGAGCGGUUCUUGACACAAUAUGGAUUACUGCAGUUAUGGAAUAGGGCUAUUUACUGUAUGUUUAUUAUUUAUUAUAUACUGUUUGAUCUCAAAGACAUUAAGAAGGCAAGAAAUUGCACUAAUUAACUUUUGACAAGGCAACCUGUUAAUUGAAAAGCGUUCCAGGUGACUACCUCAUGAAGCUGGUUAAGAUAAUGCCAAGUGUGCAGAGCGUCAUGAAGGUAAACAGUGGCUACUUUGAAGAAUCUACAAUAUGAAGCAUAUUGUUGUUGCUGUUUUUAACAAUUUUUUUUGUUUCACACACAAUUCCAUAUGUCAUUUCAUAGUUUUGAUGUCUUCAGUAUUGUUGUACAACGUAGAACAUAGUCAAAAUAAAGAAAAAACCCAUGACUGGGUCGGUGUGUCCUAAUUUUUGACUGGUACUGUAGUAACACAAUGUUU